AGAACGAACGCUGGCGGCAUGCCUAAUACAUGCAAGUCGAACGAACUCUUCGGAGUUAGUGGCGCACGGGUGCGUAACGCGUGGGAAUCUGCCCCUUGGUUCGGAAUAACAGUUGGAAACGACUGCUAAUACCGGAUGAUGACGAAAGUCCAAAGAUUUAUCGCCAAGGGAUGAGCCCGCGUAGGAUUAGCUAGUUGGUGAGGUAAAGGCUCACCAAGGCGACGAUCCUUAGCUGGUCUGAGAGGAUGAUCAGCCACACUGGGACUGGAGACACGGCCCAGACUCCGUACGGGAGCAGCAGUA
Molecule: ribosomal RNA, 303 nt
Filed under: uncultured soil bacterium
Lineage: Bacteria
Description: bacterial SSU rRNA
Rfam family: Bacterial small subunit ribosomal RNA
Source: RNAcentral